AGUUUGAUCCUGGCUCAGAAUGAACGCUGGCGGCAGGCCUAACACAUGCAAGUCGAGCGGGGACUUCGGUCCUAGCGGCGGACGGGUGAGUAACGCGUGGGAACAUACCCUUUGGUACGGAAUAGCCUCGGGAAACUGAGAGUAAUACCGUAUGUGGUCGUAAGACGAAAGAUUUAUCGCCAAAGGAUUGGCCCGCGUUGGAUUAGGUAGUUGGUGGGGUAAUGGCCUACCAAGCCGACGAUCCAUAGCUGGUUUGAGAGGAUGAUCAGCCACACUGGGACUGAGACACGGCCCAGACUCCUACGGGAGGCAGCAGUGGGGAAUCUUAGACAAUGGGCGCAAGCCUGAUCUAGCCAUGCCGCGUGAUCGAUGAAGGCCUUAGGGUUGUAAAGAUCUUUCAGUGGGGAAGAUAAUGACGGUACCCACAGAAGAAGCCCCGGCUAACUCCGUGCCAGCAGCCGCGGUAAUACGGAGGGGGCUAGCGUUAUUCGGAAUUACUGGGCGUAAAGCGCACGUAGGCGGAUUAACAAGUCAGGGGUGAAAUCCCAGGGCUCAACCUUGGAACUGCCUUUGAAACUGUUAGUCUUGAGGUCGUGAGAGGUGAGUGGAAUUCCGAG
Molecule: ribosomal RNA, 617 nt
Filed under: uncultured bacterium
Lineage: Bacteria
Description: bacterial SSU rRNA
Rfam family: Bacterial small subunit ribosomal RNA
Source: RNAcentral